RNAcentral lists this non-coding RNA (175 nucleotides) under Ctenophora environmental sample. Lineage: Eukaryota; Metazoa; Ctenophora. The record is from RNAcentral.
UGUUGUUCCGUUUGUUUGUUCGCCGUUGGUUCUUGUUUUUUUUUUCAAAAGCGUCCACCGGCGGAUUUUUUUGUGUGCAUUGAUUGGUAGGCAAUUUUGAAACACCCAAGAGCGAAUCAAAAAAAAAAAGAGUGGGGUGAAAGAGCAAAAAAAAAAUAAUAAAUUUAAACCUUGA